UCUUAUUAGGGAAUCGAUCGCGACGAAAAUCGGGAUCGAAUCCCACUACGGUAACAUACGAGGGUAUCCAAACAACACAUACUAUCCAAAUAAAAAAAUAUGGAGUUCCGGUUUAGACCAUGGGCGUGCGACGACCCCGAUGAAAUUCGGGAUAUCACGGUCUUCGUUAAUGUUAAUAAGCGUCCGUCAGAUCAGUAGGCGAAACACAAUAUCCGCACAAUAAGAUGUCUGCGACUCGAAAUAAUAAUUCAAAGUAAGCUGUUAAUUUUGUUGUGUCAGAAGCUAAUCAGCCGGUAACGUGACUACACUGAUAUAAUUUGUGAUACAAACAUGCAUUAUUCAAUACUGAGUAGCAUUUUUAAACGGCGACAUUUUGAACAUUUUUUAUAUUUAGAGUGAGAGUGGAUACACGUUACACUGGCGCCGACAUUUUGAAAAUUUGAGGAAACAAAAACAUUCCCCAACGAGUUCUUCAGCUCGGGGAAUGAGAGAAUAGAUACACCUUUGUGUCGCUUUUCAGAUCGUAUUUAAUUCCUUUCCGAAUAUGGACGGCACUCCAUUACAGCAUGUGCAUGGCUGGACCUGUUGACAUUUUUAGAAACGCAUCUUGGUCUAUUAUACAGAGUAUUGUUGUACUGCUCCAAAGUGCUUGUUGACAGACUGAAACCACUUGCUUGCGGCUCAUAAGUUUCACUUCUUGAGAGCAGGCAGCUACAAAAUGGAAGGUCAACAAAUCCAGUAUACUUAAAAAGCAAGAAAGAAACACCAGAAAAUAUAAAAAGACGGAAGAACAAGGGAACUUUAAUAAAAAAAAACUUUUAAGGAUAGGAAUUCAGGAUUUAUUAAGAAACUAAAUAUAUUUUGAGAACAGCAGUGUUUGACUAAGCUCUGUUACUUUUAGAGAUAAUGUAUUAUUACAUUGGUUUUGUUAUUGUCGAGCCCGCUUGCAGAAGCGAAGAUAUAGUUGUCCAAAUGUCUAUUCGGUGUAUGUGCGUGCGUGCGUCCGUCCGGAUUUGUUUGUCCGGACCAUAAUUUGGACAUGCAUGGAGCAAUCUUGUUUAUAUAUGGUAUGAAUGUUAACCUCAGUGAGACGGAGUGUCAUGCGCAAGCCCCAGGUUCCUGUCUCAAAGGUCAAGAUCACACUUACAGGUCAAAGGUCAAAUUCAAAAAUGACUGUCCGGAGCAUUUCUUCUUCAUGCAUGGAGGGAUUUUGAUGUAACUUGGCACAAUUGUUCACCAUCAUGAGAUGGAGUGUCUUUCGUAAGAACCAGGUCCCUAAGUCUAAGGUCAAGGUCACACUUAGAGGUCAAAGGAUACAAGAAUGACAACUUUGUCUGGAGCAUUUCUUCUUCACGCAUGGAGGGACUUUGAUGUAACUUGGCACAAAUGUUCACCACCAUGAGACGGAGUGUCAUGCGGAAGAACCAGUUCUAAGGUCAAGGUCGCACUUAGAGGUCAAAAGUCAGAUACAAGAAUGACUUUGUCUGGAGCAUUUCUUUUUGAUGCAUAGAGGGAUUUUGAUGUAACUUGGCACAAUUGUUCAUCAU
This is a long non-coding RNA of Mercenaria mercenaria, 1547 nucleotides long. RefSeq lists it as uncharacterized. Lineage: Eukaryota; Metazoa; Mollusca; Bivalvia; Venerida; Veneridae. The record is from RefSeq and is a predicted model, not a curated record. The transcript has 4 exons.